AUACUUAUCCGGCAGGGGAGAACCCUUGAUCGUGAAGGAGGUUUACCUAAGGUAACACUCAGCCAUUGCACUCUGGCUGUGCUGACCCUUGAAAUUUUCCCAAAUGCAGGAAACUUUACUGCAUAAUUUGUGGUAGUGGGGAACUGCAUGCACACUUUCCCCU
This 163-nucleotide small nuclear RNA is filed under the name Salvator merianae (Argentine black and white tegu). Its description in RNAcentral is "U1 spliceosomal RNA (ENSSMRG00000022745.1)". It matches the Rfam family "U1 spliceosomal RNA". Rfam says of the family: U1 is a small nuclear RNA (snRNA) component of the spliceosome (involved in pre-mRNA splicing). Its 5' end forms complementary base pairs with the 5' splice junction, thus defining the 5' donor site of an intron. Lineage: Eukaryota; Metazoa; Chordata; Lepidosauria; Squamata; Teiidae. The record is from RNAcentral.